RNAcentral lists this transfer-messenger RNA (329 nucleotides) under Polaribacter sp. It matches the Rfam family "transfer-messenger RNA". From Rfam's summary of the family: Bacterial tmRNA, also known as 10Sa RNA or SsrA, is named for its dual tRNA and mRNA-like properties. The record is from RNAcentral. Lineage: Bacteria; Pseudomonadati; Bacteroidota; Flavobacteriia; Flavobacteriales; Flavobacteriaceae.
GGGGACGACUGGUUUUGACAGCAAGAUUAGUUAAAAUGUAAGCAUACCGAGGAGUGAAAUGACAACUCGUUAAACUUAUUUCAACUUUUUUAAACGGCGAAAAUAAUUACGCUUUAGCUGCCUAAUCUGAAUUAUAGUAAGAUUUGCCUCGGUACACAAGGUGUACAAGCUAAAUGUCCACGAAAAAACAUAGAAGCCUUAGUACUUCGAUAAGCCUUCGAAAUUUAAGAAGUUAAGCCUAAAAUCGGUUGUCUUUAACCAGUUUUAUGUCGAAAAUUAAGAAAAGACUAAGUAUGUAGAAAGCCUUUUGGCUACUUGUUUGGACCCGA